UGAGGAAUAUUGGUCAAUGGGCGAGAGCCUGAACCAGCCAAGUCGCGUGAAGGAAGACAGUCCUAAGGAUUGUAAACUUCUUUUAUACGGGAAUAACGGGCGAUACGAGUAUUGCAUUGAAUGUACCGUAAGAAUAAGCAUCGGCUAACUCCGUGCCAGCAGCCGCGGUAAUACGGAGGAUGCGAUCGUUAUCCGGAUUUAUUGGGUUUAAAGGGUGCGUAGGUUGUUCGGUAAGUCAGCGGUGAAACCUGAGCGCUCAACGUUCAGCCUGCCGUUGAAACUGCCGGGCUUGAGUUCAGUGGCGGCAGGCGGGAUUCGGGGUGUAGCGGUGAAAUGCAUAGAUAUCACGAGGAACUCCGAUUGCGAAGGCAGCAUGCCAUACUGCGACUGACACUGAAGCACGAAGGCGUGGGUAUCAAACAGG
This 424-nucleotide ribosomal RNA is filed under the name Fusobacteriota bacterium. Its description in RNAcentral is "Fusobacteria bacterium partial 16S ribosomal RNA". It matches the Rfam family "Bacterial small subunit ribosomal RNA", at positions 355 to 776 of the family's 1533-position model. The record is from RNAcentral. Lineage: Bacteria; Fusobacteriati; Fusobacteriota.